Polyodon spathula (Mississippi paddlefish) is the source of this 635-nucleotide long non-coding RNA. RefSeq lists it as uncharacterized. The transcript has 2 exons. NCBI's taxonomy places the organism in Eukaryota, Metazoa, Chordata, Actinopteri, Acipenseriformes, Polyodontidae. The record is from RefSeq and is a predicted model, not a curated record.
UUUGCAAUCAAGCUGUUUGCUGCUUGGCAACUGAAAUGGGAAGUUACCAGAGAGCAAGACUAGUAUUGCCCAGAUAAGGUGAGGCAGCUCAAUAGGGCACACUUGUGAUAAACACGGUACAGAUAACAGGUCCAAGAUGGCAGACUGCAAAUCUAUUCUUUGGUCAAUAUUUUGGUUCUUAGUGUUAAUUUUCCUUGCCUGGCCGCUAAGUAUCUUCUUAGGAGGAUUGUACGGAUUCCUCUCUCCUCUUACUACAUGCGUGGGACUUGGUCAGGUCACUGAUAUUCUUCUUAAGGGGGCCAAUCUUGGCAGAACCUGUGCUGAGUACAUACGGGAAGGAAAGUCUCCCUGCUAAAGAAGAUGGAAUGAACAAUGGUAUUUCAAGGCAUCAAAAUAUAUCAUGGCCCUACAAUUUUCUCUCAUUUGUUUCUCAUGGAUCCUAGACAUUAAUUGACUGGACUGUUUCCACACUUCAGUGUAAUCAUUGUAACAUUUGUUUAUAUGCUUAACAAGUGCCAGCCUUUUGAAAUGUUAUUGAACAUAUUAAAAGAACUCUAACUGUAUUUCAACCCAAUUUUUCUAUAUUACAAGUUUUAGAUUAAUUUUUGAAAAGGUAAAAAUAAACUUUGCACAAA